Molecule: long non-coding RNA, 1323 nt
Organism: Canis lupus familiaris (dog)
Lineage: Eukaryota; Metazoa; Chordata; Mammalia; Carnivora; Canidae
Exons: 3
Source: RefSeq, a predicted model, not a curated record
AACCAUGAACACGGACGCCGGCGCCACCCACGGAGGGUGUCGGCCAGACUAAUGGGGGCAAGUAGUGGGACGUCCCUGGCACUUGCCCCAGCUCAGCACUGUGAUGGAAUUUCCCUCCAGGAAAUCUUGCUCUAAGAGGAAUUCCUGAGCCAUCCCUCCCCUGGGUAUCUCCCUCCACGACCCCAGACUGAACAGGCCAAGCGCAGGACUGAAGACACCACGCAGCCAUCAUGAACCAUCCAUUCAAAGCCUCACGUGGGACAGAGCACGGUUGGCACCCACAGGAAGGAUCAGGCUGGCGUGGAGAAUAGGAAGUCAGAGCCUGAAACAGUCCCAGGCUCUGUCCACUGACAGUCUUGGAGCUCUCUCACCCCAGCAACCCAAAGCACACAAAAUACUAUUCUCCACCCAAACAAGGUGGAGAAAUGACGGGUCCAGGGCAAGGAAGAUACAAGAUAGACUUGGACCAUCUUGUCUUUCAAAGCAAGGAGGUACCUUACGAAUAACGGAGAUAUGGCAACAGCACCCAGAAGCCAGAUUUAGAGGGCUUCCACUGACUAAUUCGGGACCAAUUAUACAACUCCUUGAAUAAAAAAAGAAAAAAAGAAACCUUGAGUCUCUACUAAUAGAAGUAAAUAAAUACAUUGAAAAUGUGAUAAGGAAUUAAAUACUUGCAUAGCUGCCACGUGCAUCCACCACGAAAUAUUUUAUUACUAUUAGUUACAAGAGAAAAACAACGGUGACUUUAGUAGAGAAACCUGGCAAAUUCUACCAUAAUAAUGUGGACAAAGUAAACAUUACUGGAUCAGCCUGGAAUUGAAGGGGAACUGGAUGCAGUGGGAAGAACGAACCUCACUUCCAUGGAGAAUCCAAAUCUAAUCGGGACAAACCCAUGCCGAGGGACCUUCCACAAAAAACACCUGGCUUAUAACCUUCCAGAGUCAAAGUCACGUGCCAAAGAGAGCCUGAGGAACCAUAUCAGACCCAAGCAGGAUAGAGACAUGACAACUAAAAAAAAAAAAAAAAAAAAAAAAAGCAUGACUCUGAAUUGGAUUAUUUUGCUAAAAAGGACAUUAUUGGGACACAUGGUAACAUUUCAAUAGUCUGAGCUAAGUGGUAGCCUAAUGUUAGUGUCAAGGUCCUGCUGUGGACGGUUGCCUGUGUUUACAUAUGCAAACAUCCAUGUCUGUAAACAAGAUACACUAACAUAUGCAAAUAGCAAAUGGUUUAGGAAAAAACAUUGUACUGAAUUGUAGCCUUUGAGCUUGGAAUUACUUCAAACACUUCAAAAUAUACUUUUAAAAUAUAAUAAGCUGCGAAUGA